This 79-nucleotide ribosomal RNA is filed under the name Fusarium avenaceum. Its description in RNAcentral is "partial 28S ribosomal RNA". Lineage: Eukaryota; Fungi; Ascomycota; Sordariomycetes; Hypocreales; Nectriaceae. The record is from RNAcentral.
CGCGGCCAUGCCGUAAAACCCCAACUUCUGAAUGUUGACCUCGGAUCAGGUAGGAAUACCCGCUGAACUUAAGCAUAUA